This 253-nucleotide ribosomal RNA is filed under the name uncultured bacterium. Its description in RNAcentral is "partial 16S ribosomal RNA". It matches the Rfam family "Bacterial small subunit ribosomal RNA", at positions 524 to 776 of the family's 1533-position model. RNAcentral also lists the same sequence under 1 other name. The record is from RNAcentral.
UACGUAGGUGGCAAGCGUUGUCCGGAUUUAUUGGGUUUAAAGGGUGCGUAGGCGGUCUAAUAAGUCAGUGCUGAAAUAUCCCGGCUUAACCGGGAGGGUGGCAUUGAUACUGUUGGACUUGAGUAGAGUUGAGGUUGGCGGAAUUGACGGUGUAGCGGUGAAAUGCUUAGAUAUCGUCAAGAACACCGAUAGUGAAGACAGCUAACUAAGCUCAAACUGACGCUGAGGCACGAAAGUGUGGGGAUCAAACAGG